UACGAAGGGGGCUAGCGUUGUUCGGAAUUACUGGGCGUAAAGCGUGCGCAGGCGGCUUCUCAAGUCAGGGGUGAAAGCCCAGAGCUCAACUCUGGAAUUGCCUUUGAGACUGAGUGGCUUGAGUACGGGAGAGGUGAGUGGAACUCCUAGUGUAGAGGUGGAAUUCGUAGAUAUUAGGAAGAACACCAGUGGCGAAGGCGGCUCACUGGUCCGGUACUGACGCUGAGGUGCGAAAGCGUGGGGAGCAAACAGG
Molecule: ribosomal RNA, 253 nt
Filed under: uncultured prokaryote
Description: partial 16S ribosomal RNA
Rfam family: Bacterial small subunit ribosomal RNA
Source: RNAcentral